UACGUAGGGGGCUAGCGUUGUCCGGAAUCAUUGGGCGUAAGCGCGUGUAGGCGGUCCGGUAAGUCCGCUGUGAAAGUCGGGGGGCUCAACCCUCGGAUGCCGGUGGAUACUGUCGGGCUUGAGUACGGAAGAGGCGAGUGGAAUUCCUGGUGUAGCGGUGAAAUGCGCAGAUAUCAGGAGGAACACCAAUUGCGAAGGCAGCUUGCUGGGACGUUACUGACGCUGAGACGCGAAAGCGUGGGGAGCAAACAGG
This 253-nucleotide ribosomal RNA is filed under the name uncultured bacterium. Its description in RNAcentral is "partial 16S ribosomal RNA". It matches the Rfam family "Bacterial small subunit ribosomal RNA", at positions 524 to 776 of the family's 1533-position model. The record is from RNAcentral.